Fukomys damarensis (Damara mole-rat) is the source of this 327-nucleotide long non-coding RNA. RefSeq lists it as uncharacterized. The record is from RefSeq and is a predicted model, not a curated record. The transcript is spliced from 3 exons. Lineage: Eukaryota; Metazoa; Chordata; Mammalia; Rodentia; Bathyergidae.
CAGAAUGCUAGGACUACAGAUGUACAUCACCACAUCAGGCUUCAAAGUACUUCCAUAGACACUCACUAGGUGAUUCUACUGUGCAGCCGGACAAAUAGGAAACGACCGCCUGAAUGAGACUCAUGCAGCACUCAAGAUGGGGGCAUCUGACAAGAGAUGGAUUCUUUGGGGCCCCUCCUACAGAGCUAUCGGCAUAUGGAGUACAAUGCAAUUCAAUGAAGAGGGCCAGGGACCUGGUUUUGAAAAAGUCAAAACCAAUGGAAGAAACAAAAAUGAAGCAUCCGAUGUCCCGAUAGAACUCAAAUGGUAACCCAGAACAGAGACAAC